Molecule: ribosomal RNA, 700 nt
Filed under: uncultured bacterium
Lineage: Bacteria
Description: bacterial SSU rRNA
Rfam family: Bacterial small subunit ribosomal RNA
Source: RNAcentral
GCGAGUGGCGACGGGUGAGUAAUAUAUCGGAACGUGCCCAUUAGUGGGGGAUAGCCCGGCGAAAGCCGGAUUAAUACCGCAUACGACCUGAGGGUGAAAGCGGGGGAUCGCAAGACCUCGCGCUAUUGGAGCGGCCGAUAUCAGAUUAGCUAGUUGGUGGGGUAAAAGCCUACCAAGGCAACGAUCUGUAGUUGGUCUUAGAGGACGACCAGCCACACUGGGACUGAGACACGGCCCAGACUCCUACGGGAGGCAGCAGUGGGGAAUUUUGGACAAUGGGCGCAAGCCUGAUCCAGCAAUGCCGCGUGCAGGAAGAAGGCCUUCGGGUUGUAAACUGCUUUUGUCAGGGAAGAAAUCCUUUGGGUUAAUACCUCGAAGGGAUGACGGUACCUGAAGAAUAAGCACCGGCUAACUACGUGCCAGCAGCCGCGGUAAUACGUAGGGUGCGAGCGUUAAUCGGAAUUACUGGGCGUAAAGCGUGCGCAGGCGGCUUUGCAAGACAGAGGUGAAAUCCCCGGGCUCAACCUGGGAACUGCCUUUGUGACUGCAAGGCUAGAGUACGGCAGAGGGGGAUGGAAUUCCGCGUGUAGCAGUGAAAUGCGUAGAUAUGCGGAGGAACACCGAUGGCGAAAGCAAUCCCCUGGGCCUGUACUGACGCUCAUGCACGAAAGCGUGGGGAGCAAACAGGAUUAGAUACCCU